This is a non-coding RNA of Lactuca sativa (garden lettuce), 941 nucleotides long. The record is from RefSeq and is a predicted model, not a curated record. NCBI's taxonomy places the organism in Eukaryota, Viridiplantae, Streptophyta, Magnoliopsida, Asterales, Asteraceae.
UAGGGCUUUUUAUGCCCGUUUCCUUUUGUUUAUCGGGCAAAGGGAAGAACAACUACAAGCAGACGAACGAAGAGAGGGAAGAAGAGGCACGAAGGCAGCGACCAUACGCCCCCGAUAUUGGCUAGAUUCGGGGAAAGAGAAGCUCGGAAACGGAAGGGAGGUGGUCUCGGUGUUGGUAAUCGAUUGAACGAGGGGGCUUCUCUGGUGUCUGGCCGAACCGAAGGAGGAGAAGAGACGAAAGCAGCGAAGCUCUCUCUUUCUCGUCUAGCUGUGAGGCGCGAAUGAAGAACGAGGUCCGAAGGAGAGUCCGUGAGGGGAUAGGUCAGCAGCAACGUCGUGGUAGGCGCCUCAGUAGGGAUUGGCAGCAAGGGUCAUCGGAAGGAAAGGAAAGGUACGAGGUUAAGGAAUCAAAGGGGGCUGUCGCCUCACGUGUUUGCUCCGGGGAAACACCCACUUCGGUGGGUUUUGCUCGACCGAAGGAGAAGUGGAGGUUCUGAGGGGUGGGCUAUUCGAGAUCGGUGGUGAUAGUGUGUGUGUGUGUGUGGGUAUUUGGGUUUUGGUGUUUGACAGGGGAAAAUGAAGAACGAAUGUUGGAGGUUGCGGCUUGCCAACGGUAUAAAAGAAGAACAAAAAGGGUACGAAUACUCUGAUUAUUAUUUAGAGAAACUUGUAGUAUUUCUUUUGGCUAGAUGAACACUACUAAGUUGUACAAUUUUUUGGUAAAGAGUAUAAGUUUCAUUUUGUUUUGGCUGUCAAUUUCAGAUUCAUGUAUCCAAACAAUCUUUCUGAUUCUUGUGAAGACCUGAUAUAUCCACCCAAAGGAUCUAAAUCUGCAGCUUUGAAGUGUGAAGAUUUGAAAUUAGUAAAGUUGAAUAGGGUGUAAUUUUUAGUUAAGUUUAUAUAAUUUUUUAAAUUUUAGUUUAAUGAAAAAUAGUUGGGUA